AAACCAACCGGGAUUGCCUCAGUAACGGCGAGUGAAGCGGCAAGAGCUCAAAUUUGAAAUCUAGCACCUUCGGUGUUCGAGUCGUAAUUUGAAGAUGGUAACCUUGGGUUUGGCUCUUGUCUAUGUUCCUUGGAACAGGACGUCAUAAAGGGUGAGAAUCCCGUGCGAUGAGAUGAUCCAGGCCUAUGUAAAGUUCCUUCGAC
Molecule: ribosomal RNA, 203 nt
Filed under: uncultured fungus
Lineage: Eukaryota; Fungi
Description: partial 26S ribosomal RNA
Rfam family: Eukaryotic large subunit ribosomal RNA
Source: RNAcentral